ACAUACGCGGGGGUAGGAACAGAGGCGGACAGAUAUUGCAGCGAAAAAAAUCCUAGGGUUCUUCAUAACUCACUUAUUCUUGAACUCAGAAACGAUUGUUUGACGGGUAUAAAUUUGACUGGAGUCUACGUAUUGGCCCAAGGAGUAUUGAGGAACCGGAUUUGCAGGCGAACAGGUUACGAGUUAGGACUUCCUUCCCUUCCAGUGAUAUUGGUGAGCUCCGCUUUUGUUCGUGGAGUAUUCUUAGAGUCAUUUUCAUUUAGCUAUUUCUUUGUUUAUCUAGAGAACUGACCAGGAAAUCUCAUGUCCUGAGCAGUGCGUCAGUUUAUCAGUAGAGGCUUCAUAGACAUAGUAAUUGGGUUGAGAUUCAUAUGUUAUUUUAUAAUAACUUAGCAAUAAUUCAGUAGUUACGAUGAAUAAAGUUUUGGAGUUGAUUUAUUUAAAUAUUUCAAUUAAUCAAAAGUAUUUGGUUAGAGUAUUGCUUUGUUGCAUAUAAAGUGUGGAGCUAUAAUAGAUUGAAUAAGCAGAGAUGGUUCGCUCGAUCAGGUUUAGUGAUCGAGUGCCGGUCUCGACUUGUUUAUAAAAUGGGUCGUGACAAACUUGGUAUCAGAGCCUCAGGUUUAUGGAGUCCUAGGGGUCUAUAAAGCCAUGUUAGUAGAGUCUUGUUUAUGUGUAUGAAGCGCGCCAUACUUAUAAACAGGAGGCGACAAGCAUUUAGGA
Nicotiana tabacum (common tobacco) is the source of this 720-nucleotide non-coding RNA. Lineage: Eukaryota; Viridiplantae; Streptophyta; Magnoliopsida; Solanales; Solanaceae. The record is from RefSeq and is a predicted model, not a curated record.